CCAAUAGCGUAUAUUAAAGUUGCUGCAGUUAAAAAGCUCGUAGUUGAAUUUCGGGACUAAUAUGUCGGUCGUGCCUCGGUACGUACUGGUAUUUUUGGUUUCUCCCUUCUGGCGAACCUUGAUGUCAUUAAUUUGGUGUCUUGGGAAAUCAGGACUGUUACUUUGAAAAAAUUAGAGUGUUUAAAGCAGGCUCACGCUUGAAUACGUUAGCAUGGAAUAAUGAAAUAGGACGUUUGAUUCUAUUUUGUUGGUUUCUAGGAUCGACGUAAUGAUUAAUAGGGAUAGUUGGGGGCAUUAGUAUUCAAUUGUCAGAGGUGAAAUUCUUGGAUUUAUUGAAGACUAACUACUGCGAAAGCAUUUGUCAAGGAUGUUUUCAUUAAUCAAGAACGAAAGUUAGGGGAUCGAAGACGAUCAGAUACCGUCGUAGUCUUAACCAUAAACUAUGCCGACUAGGGAUCGGAUGAUGUUAAUUUUUUAAUGACUCAUUCGGCGCCUUACG
This 499-nucleotide ribosomal RNA is filed under the name uncultured Glomeromycotina. Its description in RNAcentral is "partial small subunit ribosomal RNA". It matches the Rfam family "Eukaryotic small subunit ribosomal RNA", at positions 591 to 1092 of the family's 1831-position model. Lineage: Eukaryota; Fungi; Glomeromycota. The record is from RNAcentral.